AAUGGUGCCAAUAUGAUAUUCUUCUGAGGCAUCAUUCUCUAGAGGCCAAACUAGAUGGGUAAUUACAAAAGUUGUAAAUGGCUAAAGCGUUAUCCUCUCGUCAUUAUUGUUGCUAGCCAAUAUGAUAUUCUUCUGAGGUGGGCUUGGUAAUAGUGAGUCUCCCAUACCUUACUAAGAGUUUCCUCCAAAACUCUCGAAUUCCAAUGAGGGAUAUGGAAUUUGCCAAAAAUAGUGGGUGGUGCUAUUUGAUUUAAAGACCCGAAUCAAAUGGCUUAAAAUCAAUCAAUUUAUAUUCAUUAUGUAUUUGUUUACCAAUAUAUUUGCAAACGUUAUCCAAAACUUGACUAAGAAAAUCCGAAUGCUUUAGUUUCCAGACUUGGUACAACAAUCCCAAAGAUUGUCUUAAAUGGAUUGUAUAUGUACCUAACUAGUCUAAUCCUCACAAUCUUCCUAUUGAUAAUGUAUCAUUGGAAGAACAUGUUAGAUAAGUCUAUCAUAAAGAG
Molecule: long non-coding RNA, 503 nt
Filed under: Malus domestica (apple)
Lineage: Eukaryota; Viridiplantae; Streptophyta; Magnoliopsida; Rosales; Rosaceae
Description: long non-coding RNA (MDOM_LNC013289)
Source: RNAcentral